AGGGAAACUGCCCUAUGGCUAUGGGCCCGGAGGAGUGGCUGGUGUAGCGGGCAAAGCUGGUUACCCAACAGGGACAGGGGUUGGCCCCCAGGCAGCAGCAGCAGCGGCAGCUAAAGCAGCAGCAAAGUUAGGUGCUGGAGCAGCCGGAGUCCUCCCUGGUGUUGGAGGGGCCGGUGUUCCUGGCGUGCCUGGGGCAAUUCCUGGAAUCGGAGGCAUCGCAGGCGUUGGGACUCCAGCUGCAGCUGCAGCUGCAGCUGCAGCUGCAGCAGCAGCCGCUAAGGCAGCCAAGUAUGGAGCUGCUGCAGGCUUAGUGCCUGGUGGGCCAGGCUUUGGCCCGGGAGUAGUUGGUGUCCCAGGAGCUGGCGUUCCAGGUGUUGGUGUCCCAGGAGCUGGGAUUCCAGUUGUCCCAGGUGCUGGGAUCCCAGGUGCUGCGGUUC
This 437-nucleotide long non-coding RNA is filed under the name Pan troglodytes (chimpanzee). RNAcentral's name for it is "long non-coding RNA NONPTRT016240". The record is from RNAcentral. Lineage: Eukaryota; Metazoa; Chordata; Mammalia; Primates; Hominidae.